Molecule: ribosomal RNA, 985 nt
Filed under: Odorrana hejiangensis (Hejiang odorous frog)
Lineage: Eukaryota; Metazoa; Chordata; Amphibia; Anura; Ranidae
Description: partial large subunit ribosomal RNA
Rfam family: Bacterial large subunit ribosomal RNA
Source: RNAcentral
AGUUUUUUUAUUCUACCAAACAAGCCCAAAAACUUAAGAGUUACUCAAAUUAGGCACAGCUUAUUUGAAACAGGAUACAACCUCCCCCAUUGGGUAAGCAUGGGCAGUAAAGACAAAGUGGGCCCAAAAGCAGCCAUCUUCCAAAAAGCGUCAAAGCUUAAUCACACUAGCCUUCAAUAUCUAAAAUAUUCCCCAGCCCCUCAUCCCUACUGAACUAUUUUAUAUCGCUAUAAAAAUAAUUAUGCUAGAACUAGUAACAAGAAGUCGCCCUUCUCCAUAAUGUAAGCAUAAACCAAAACGGACAAUCCACUGGUAAUUAACGUAAAUGCAAUACCAUAACAACACAACUAGAAAACCUUAUGGCUAUAUACACGUUACCCUGACACCAGAACAUUACAGGAAAGAUUAAAAGAGAAAGAAGGAACUCGGCAAAUUUUAACCCCGCCUGUUUACCAAAAACAUCGCCUCCUGAUUAAAUAUAGGAGGUCCAGCCUGCCCAGUGAUAAUAUUCAACGGCCGCGGUAUACUAACCGUGCGAAGGUAGCAUAAUCACUUGUUCUUUAAAUGGGGACUCGUAUCAACGGCAUCACGAGGGUUAUACUGUCUCCUCUCUCUAAUCAGUGAAACUGAUCCCCCCGUGAAGAAGCGGGGAUUUAAUUAUAAGACGAGAAGACCCCAUGGAGCUUUAAACCCAACAUACACCCUAUACCCAAACACCAACUUACCCAAUGGGGCCUGUACGUCGGUUUUAGGCUGGGGGGGCCACGGAGUAAAACUAAACCUCCACAACAAAUGGGCUAACACCCUAAUCUAUGAUUUAUAAAUCUAAGAAUCACCAAAAUGAUGUUUAAUGACCCGAUAAUUCGAUCAAUGAACCAAGUUACCCUGGGGAUAACAGCGCAAUCCACUUCGAGAGCCCUUAUCGACAAGUGGGUUUACGACCUCGAUGUUGGAUCAGGGUAUCCUAGUGGUGCAACCGCUACUA